This 583-nucleotide ribosomal RNA is filed under the name uncultured bacterium. RNAcentral describes it as "partial 16S ribosomal RNA". It matches the Rfam family "Bacterial small subunit ribosomal RNA", at positions 355 to 935 of the family's 1533-position model. The record is from RNAcentral.
UGGGGAAUUUUGGACAAUGGGCGAAAGCCUGAUCCAGCAAUGCCGCGUGUGUGAAGAAGGCCUUCGGGUUGUAAAGCACUUUUGUCCGGAAAGAAAUCCUUGGCUCUAAUACAGUCGGGGGAUGACGGUACCGGAAGAAUAAGCACCGGCUAACUACGUGCCAGCAGCCGCGGUAAUACGUAGGGUGCAAGCGUUAAUCGGAAUUACUGGGCGUAAAGCGUGCGCAGGCGGUUUGCUAAGACCGAUGUGAAAUCCCCGGGCUCAACCUGGGAACUGCAUUGGUGACUGGCAGGCUAGAGUAUGGCAGAGGGGGGUAGAAUUCCACGUGUAGCAGUGAAAUGCGUAGAGAUGUGGAGGAAUACCGAUGGCGAAGGCAGCCCCCUGGGCCAAGUACUGACGCUCAUGCACGAAAGCGUGGGGAGCAAACAGGAUUAGAUACCCUGGUAGUCCACGCCCUAAACGAUGUCAACUAGUUGUUGGGGAUUCAUUUCCUUAGUAACGUAGCUAACGCGUGAAGUUGACCGCCUGGGGAGUACGGUCGCAAGAUUAAAACUCAAAUGAAUUGACGGGGUCAUAGCUGUUU